ACUCCUACGGGAGGCAGCAGUGGGGAAUUUUGGACAAUGGGCGAAAGCCUGAUCCAGCCAUGCCGCGUGAGUGAAGAAGGCCUUCGGGUUGUAAAGCUCUUUCAGCCGGAAAGAAAUCGCGCAGGAUAAUACUCUGCGUGGAUGACGGUACCGGAAGAAGAAGCACCGGCUAACUACGUGCCAGCAGCCGCGGUAAU
Molecule: ribosomal RNA, 197 nt
Filed under: uncultured bacterium
Lineage: Bacteria
Description: partial 16S ribosomal RNA
Rfam family: Bacterial small subunit ribosomal RNA
Source: RNAcentral